UGUAAACAGUGCCUGACACAUAUUAGCUGCUCAAAAAAAUGUAUUGAAUGAAAACUCUAGGGCCUGCUAAGAGCCAUGCACUCUACUAGGUAUUUUAUGAAAUUAUCUAUCUCAAUCUUCAUACUAUCACUUUAAGGCAAGUUUCCCAAUCCUUAGAGAUUUUUCUAAAAUAAUACACCUGUGAAAAGGAGCCAGGCAAUAAUUAUAGAAAAAGCUGCUUUAUCAGGAUUCGAGUGCCAUAUCUGCUGGUAACUUUGUGGUUCACUUACAUAAGCCACAUAUCCCCUGAGGAACUCAGUUUCCAUGUUUGUAUCAUGGGGAUAAUGCUUGUCCCCUCUACUGCAGGUCAUCAGGAGAAUAAAUGUGAAUAUAAACACUUAAUAUGUUAGCAUUGAUGGGCAAAUGUCUAUCAUAGUAAGUGAUGUGUUGGGUGGGGGUUUCUGCAGAGAUUUGCUACAAGUUGUUUUGCUAUAUGAAGGCAAGAGAGCAGCGGACAGCUAUACAGUACCCUCUUACACAGGAACAGAACAUCCAGAAACCCAGAGGGCCCCAGGAAAGGCUCCGAACUCAGUAAGGUGAUGGCCAGGCCCAACUCCAAACUGUUGUCCUCUCCCUCUCAAUUGAAUCUUUAAAUGGGCCUAUUAGGGACCUAACAGUUGAUAGCUAAUUUGACUGAAAAAUUUUCUUUAGCAUCCAAACCAGUGAUCUUCAAGCCAUUCCAGGCAGAAAGAACAGCAACUGAGAAGCCCCUAAGGUAGGAAGGAGCUUGGUGUGCCACUGAGGGAGGAACUGCAAAUACCCAGGCAAAUCUGAAGCAGGAAGUCCAAGUUACAAGGUCAUUCCAGGAAAAGGGAGGGUGAAAGACUCUGGCACCUUAGGGCACCACUGGCCAACAUAAACUCUCUUGGGAUUGCCUGCGAACCUGACCACCACACACAACACUAGGCCUCUGAGAAACUGCAUUAUGAUUGAAGGAAACCAAAAUAUUGCACCCCAAAAUAUACUUCUUUGACAUAUUUUGAGAUGGCUGUUCGGAGGGCAAAACAGAAGUAGGCCAGUAAAGCUGUCAUUUGUUCGGGAGAUUUGUGUCUGUAGAGUAUCUGCACUGAUGCAGCCAGGCUUUCUCU
This 1127-nucleotide long non-coding RNA is filed under the name Homo sapiens (human). Its description in RNAcentral is "non-protein coding lnc-GBP5-8:1". The record is from RNAcentral. Lineage: Eukaryota; Metazoa; Chordata; Mammalia; Primates; Hominidae.